AAGCAUUUUUUCCAUGUGUCAUUCCAAUAACCGCCAGCGUUCAUCUUGAGCCAGGAUCGAACUCUCCAUGAGAUUCCUAGUUGCAUUACUUAUAGCUCACCUCAUCCUAGAAAGCCACGUGUCACUCCCUUCUUUCUCUUCGCUGUUGAAUGCGUCCCUGAAAUCACUGGCCCUUAGUUGCUUCAUCUUCCUCCGUUUGAAUUCGUGAGAUUGGGAACCCUAAGCCUCAUUUCCUCCAUGAAAUUCUCAUCACACAACCUCCACGACCUCCUCCACAAGUUCGUGAGAGUGGGAACCCUAAACCUCAUCUCCUCCAUGAUACUUAGCUUUGUCGACUUUCGGUGCCACAACAAACACCACCAAUCUGAACAAAUAGCACGAGGGUAAGAGUGUUUCAGAGGCUGGAGAGAUUGGUGAUCGAGCAAUUUUAAGUAGAAGGCUCAGUGAGAGAAGCAGUUUCACUUUGUUAUUUGACCACAGGAACAAUGUAAAGGUUUGGCAGAGUUACUGAACUACGCUUCAUGUCUGCUUCACCCAUCAGUUUUUGCAAUACUUGAGGUCAAAACCGGGGAUUGUGAUACUUUUGUAGCAGGACUAGAGUUUGGAGUGAUGGGGUGUCUACUUUUGCAGCAGAGUUCAAUGCAAUGAAUCCUUGGAGAGCCUAUGUCUAUGCUAUCAUCACAAAAUGUGUCUCAUUUUCUGCUGGCAUCUUAAUGUACUGAGUUCGUCCUAAUUUUACAUGACAAAAAGAAACUCAGAAAUUCACAGAAAUGGGGGUGGGGGUGUGAAGAGAUUUUAAAGCUGAUCAAAAGCCUGGUCACAGAACAUGAACCUGGUGCUAAUUCAUCACAAUAGAGGUUUCGUAACUUGUCCAUUCUCAAUUUCCCAUGGUGUGAUGUGUAAAGAUUAUAACACAUUAGAUUGACAGUUGAAAUCAUCAUAAAAAGCAGACGUGCACUGAAAUACAGGAAGAAUAACCAGAAGAAGAAGUGAACCUGAAAGUUUUCUGCAUGUACUUCACCAGAAGGCACUGCAAACACAAAAACAUGAAGGGCUAUAAUGACUAGGACUCUGCUUCAAACAUGAUAUUUGUGAAGCCUAGAUCAAGACACCUGCAAAUUGCCCAUCGAAAACACAUUGCUUCUGCAAUGACAGGUUGUGACAAAAUUUACCUUGACUCCUCCCAUAUCAGUUCGCGACGAGCAUUGCAGAAAUUGAUUUGCUGCUGCGGACUUGUGCAUAUGAGAGGAAACAACUGGUGCGGAACAUGCAGAUAGACCAAGUUGAAUUGUUUGUUGAAUAAUAUUCGAUUGUGUCGCAUCCCCACAGCCCAAAUGAAUUCUAUAUGUGUGCUAACAGUUUCCACAUCGUCUAAUUGAAGCAGAUUAUCAACCCGGGAAGGGUUUCUACCACAGUUAAUUAACAGCACAUCAUAAUUUGAGUACGUUAAUAACUAGUGUUGAGAUAAGCAAAAAAAAUCAAAAUUUGAGUAAGGUCAAGUUCGUGAUCAUUGAAUGUUCCAUCCACAUUGGGCCAUUUGGUAGUAGAUAUUUCUCUCACAUGGUUUUUGCAAUUGCAUCAUAUAACUGCAAGUUUAACCGCAUAAGUUUAUGAUUUUCUGCAACUGCAAUUUAAUCCUUGAUUCUCUAUAGUCUUUUGAUUUGGUUUAAUUAGGAUUACAACAUGCAUCGCAGUAUUAAAAGCCUACUACCCCUUUCCACCAAAUCUCCCCCCAAAAGAAAAUUUAAUAAAUCCUACAAUUGAAUUAACUCAGAGGCACAUUUAUUUGCCCGUGCUUUAUUCAUAAUUCAGAUUCAGAUUGCUUGCUUGCUCCCAUCAGAACAAAACCAAAUAUAA
This is a long non-coding RNA of Lotus japonicus, 1857 nucleotides long. RefSeq lists it as uncharacterized. The record is from RefSeq and is a predicted model, not a curated record. NCBI's taxonomy places the organism in Eukaryota, Viridiplantae, Streptophyta, Magnoliopsida, Fabales, Fabaceae. The transcript is spliced from 5 exons.